Molecule: transfer RNA, 58 nt
Filed under: Mesocricetus auratus (golden hamster)
Lineage: Eukaryota; Metazoa; Chordata; Mammalia; Rodentia; Cricetidae
Rfam family: tRNA
About the family: Transfer RNA (tRNA) molecules are approximately 80 nucleotides in length.
Source: Rfam by way of RNAcentral
UAGCUCAGUUGGUAGAGUACUUGCCUAGCAUGCUUGAAGCCCUGGGUUCGAUUCCCAG